CUUUAAUUACCGAUUGCAACAAUGUUGCAAUCGGUUAAUGGGUGCCACACAUCUCUCUAUGUGUGGGCUAUUAGGGGGUAGCUCAUUCGGUUCAUGAACAGCCCGUAUAGUCGCUGUUCGUGAAACAAAAUACAUGAAUGCUAGCGGCUUUCGGCUGCUAGCAUACAAAUUCUAUGCAAAAAGACAAUGUAGACCCAGUUUAUACAUAUUUUACAGCGGUUAGUAAGGACAACCUUUUUAUACAUAUAGUCCAGCAUCCUACAAGUGGCUAGGUUUGCCACAAUGCUCCGCCAGAACCAAGCCGGCAUACACAGUCUGAUCCCAAUGGAUCAGCUUGGGGAUGUUUGGAGGAGUGCCCACAGAUCACUUUUC
This is a non-coding RNA of Pelobates cultripes (western spadefoot toad), 372 nucleotides long. NCBI's taxonomy places the organism in Eukaryota, Metazoa, Chordata, Amphibia, Anura, Pelobatidae. The record is from the annotation of a GenBank genome assembly.